CUGCUGCAGGAUCAUUA
RNAcentral lists this ribosomal RNA (17 nucleotides) under Radopholus similis. RNAcentral's name for it is "partial 18S ribosomal RNA". Lineage: Eukaryota; Metazoa; Nematoda; Chromadorea; Rhabditida; Pratylenchidae. The record is from RNAcentral.